This 1528-nucleotide ribosomal RNA is filed under the name freshwater sediment metagenome. RNAcentral describes it as "bacterial LSU rRNA". It matches the Rfam family "Bacterial large subunit ribosomal RNA", at positions 813 to 2345 of the family's 2925-position model. The record is from RNAcentral.
GGAUAGGGGUGAAAGGCUAAUCAAACUGAGAAAUAGCUCGUACUCCCCGAAAUGCAUUUAGGUGCAGCCUCGUGGUGAGUCUUGCAGAGGUAGAGCUACUGAUAGGGCUAGAGGGCUUCACCGCCUAUCAACCCCUGACAAACUCCGAAUGCUGCAAGAUAUACACGGGAGUGAGCCUGCGGGUGCUAAGGUCCGUGGACAAAAGGGAAAGAACCCAGACCAUCAGCUAAGGUCCCAAAAUAUAUGUUAAGUUGAAUUAACGAGGUGCGACUGCUUAGACAGCUAGGAUGUUGGCUUUGAAGCAGCCAUUCAUUUAAAGAGUGCGUAACAGCUCACUAGUCGAGCGGUUGUGCGUGGAUAAUAAUCGGGCAUAAGCAUAUUACCGAAGCUAUGGACUACUGACGUUACAGUCAGUAUUGGUAGGGGAGCAUUCCAGUCAGCGCAGAAGAUGUAUUGUAAAGUAUGUUGGAGCGGCUGGAAAAGAAGAUGUAGGCAUAAGUAACGAUAAGGCCGGUGAGAAACCGGCCCACCGAAAGACUAAGGUUUCCUGAUCAUCGCUAAUCGGAUCAGGGUUAGUCGGGUCCUAAGGGUAAGCCAAACGGCGAUCUCGAUGGACAACUGGUUAAUAUUCCAGUACCACCGUGUACUGCGAAGGGGAGACGGAGUAGUGAAAGAUCCGCGUACUGACGGAAUAGUACGUUAAAGGGUGUAGUUAUAUCACUAGGUUAAUAGCUAUGUGAUGAUGAACCUGACAGUACCGUGAGCCUUCGGGCAAGCGGAUAGUGAUCCUAAUCAGACUUCCAAGAAAAACCUCUAAGCUUCAGGUACAUGGUGCCCGUACCACAAACCGACACAGGUAGUCGAGGAGAGAAUCCUAAGGUGCUCGAGUGAUCCGUGGCUAAGGAACUAGGCAAAUUAGACCUGUAACUUCGGGAAAAAGGUCUCCCGCGCAAGCGGGACGCAGAUAAAUGGCCCAGGCGACUGUUUAGCAAAAACACAUGGCUUUGCGAAAUCGAAAGAUGAAGUAUAAGGCCUGACACCUGCCCGGUGCUGGAAGGUUAAGAGGGGGGGUUAUUGUCCUUCGGGAUGAGAAGCUCUGAAUUGAAGCCCCAGUAAACGGCGGCCGUAACUAUAACGGUCCUAAGGUAGCGAAAUUCCUUGUCGGGUAAGUUCCGACCUGCACGAAUGGUGUAACGAUCUGGGCACUGUCUCAGCCACGAGCUCGGUGAAAUUGUAGUCCCGGUGAAGAUGCCGGGUACCCGCAACGGGACGGAAAGACCCCGUGAACCUUUACUAUAGCUUAACAUUGAUUUUGGGUAAAUAAUGUGUAGGAUAGGUCGGAGACUACGAAGCGGUUUCGCCAGGAAUCGUGGAGUCAUCCUUGAAAUACGACCCUUUGUUUAUCUGGAACCUAACUCCGCUUAACGCGGAAGACAUUGUCUGGUGGGUAGUUUGACUGCGGUGGUCGCCUCCAAAAGAGUAACGGAGGCUUCUCAAGGUGCCCUCAGCACGAUUGGUAACCGUGCGC